Molecule: long non-coding RNA, 613 nt
Filed under: Nicotiana benthamiana
Lineage: Eukaryota; Viridiplantae; Streptophyta; Magnoliopsida; Solanales; Solanaceae
Description: long non-coding RNA (NBEN_LNC031254)
Source: RNAcentral
UUUUGAGAUGUGCUUCCAAGGCCCUAUUCCAUGAGGUGAGUUGCUAAGUCUAGUACUUAUCCUAUUUUUACUUGUUUAUCAUUAUUAAAUUUGAAGUAUAUAGGACUUGUUGCUAGUAAGAGUUUAUUGUUAGAAGUGUAAAUAUAGUAGAACUCUAAUCCAAAGAGUAUUAGUAGUAGGUUAGGUUAUGUGUAUUAUAUAUAGGGCUCAUUGUAUCAUGUUUAAUAUCAAUUAUAUAUUUUUCUCCCGUGCUUUCUCGCAUGGUAUCAGAGCUACAGUGAGAAUAUUAUAGUUGUGCGUCAUUCCAGCAACUUUCGGGAAGAAAGACCUCGUCGCCGUGCAAUUUACCGGCGACUUAAGAGGCUGUCUGUAACUAAACCACCUUUUUGUUGGUGUUGUGCAAAAUCCGAGACCACCACGAGGUUCGGAAGAGAAUUCCGACCAACCCCAGAAAAAAUCACCGGAAAAGCUCCAGUCACGCGCCCCCACGUGCCGACAAGACCCUCGGCGCGUCAGCCCACGCGCCGGCGCGUGAGGGCCCUUCCGGCUACUUUUUCAGUUUGCUCCAGAAGGACAGUUUGGUCGGCCUUCAAUUCCGACCCUACCCAUACUN